UACGUAGGGAGCAAGCGCUGUCCGGAAUCAUUGGGCGUAAAGCGCGCGUAGGCGGCCUCAUAAGUCCGUUGUGAAAGUCAAAGGCUCAACCUUUGAAAGCCGAUGGAUACUGUGAGGCUAGAGUCCGGAAGAGGCGAGUGGAAUUCCUGGUGUAGCGGUGGAAUGCGCAGAUAUCAGGAGGAACACCAAUUGCGAAGGCAGCUCGCUGGGACGUUACUGACGCUGAGACGCGAAAGCGUGGGGAGCAAACAGG
Molecule: ribosomal RNA, 253 nt
Filed under: uncultured bacterium
Lineage: Bacteria
Description: partial 16S ribosomal RNA
Rfam family: Bacterial small subunit ribosomal RNA
Source: RNAcentral